This 1169-nucleotide long non-coding RNA is filed under the name Homo sapiens (human). RNAcentral's name for it is "HSALNT0380410". Lineage: Eukaryota; Metazoa; Chordata; Mammalia; Primates; Hominidae. The record is from RNAcentral.
AAGAAAAAUGACCAAAAAUAAUAUGCUCAUUUUUCAAGCUUCAGCAGAAGAAACACUUCCUAUAAAUCUCGCCCAAACAGGAAAGCAAACCUGAAAAUACACUAUCCUCCAGCUAUCAGAAUUAUAUUGAGAUCUACUCACAUUUAUGAUGAUGUUCAGAGAUUCAUCAUUGGGAAGGAAAAUGCACACGCUGCGGCGGUCUUGCAUGACUCUGUUGUGGAAAUUCAAUUUGUUCAUUGUGUUUUGGGCUCUCUGGGUGGUCAGGGCUGGGCUCUGGGUCCUUGGCAAUUCCUCAGGUUCCCAGCACUCCAAAGCCAAGCUCACCUCCUCAUCACACGCCCUGCAGGAGAAGCAUCAGGGUGUCCGACUACGUGGGUUUCAUAGCUGUGGAAAAGCCAAAGGGGAGACUCCUGAAGAAAGGCGGUGAAGACUGUGAAGAGCGGGUCAGGAAGAUGAGCACAGCACUGCUACUCCUGUGGGCACAGGGACAGCAUGUCUCCAGCCAGCGCCACCUUGUUUAAUACAUGGGAACUCACUGAAAUUCAUUCUGUAUUUUGCCCACAAAGUUUUAAAGCUUUCAUCCACAGUCAGGAAUUAAACUUAUACCAAUGAGAGCCUCACACAUUCAAGGAUGUACUAAGCACUACAGGCCUCACAGAAACAGAGAUCCCAUCUUGGAGUUUUCAGUCCCACAUGGGAGAUAAAGGGUUUUGAACAUGAAAUGACAAAAACAACAGCAAGAAGAAAAUUCUCGUCCUUUUUCAUUACUAUCAAACUCAAAUAAAUGUCUUGGCUCUUACAUUACAUUCAUUCUUCAACCAUUGUGGUCUGGCUUCCACUUCCUUCACUUCACCAACAUGGCUCUGCCAAAGGAAGCCUGUGAUCUCUAGGCCAUCACUUUAAUUGAUCUCUCUACAACAUUUAUCCUGGUCGUUAAGCCCUCCUUACAACAUUCUUCUCUCUUUGUUUUUAUGGCUCUGUCUCUCCUGCUUCUUUAACCUGAUAAUGCAUACUUGAUUUUUCCAUUUAUUAUUUCAUCAACCAAUUAAUACACAGAUAAAACAAGACUGUGUAUAUCAAACCAUGUUUGUAUAGAAAAAAUGGAUUUUGGAUGCCUCUCAUAUGUAAUUAGUUCUAUUAAACAUAUUAAUUGUAUUGUUUAAUUUAUC